UGGGUAACCUGCCCAAGAGAUCGGGAUAACACCUGGAAACAGAUGCUAAUACCGGAUAACAACAGAUGAUGCCUAUCAACUGUUUAAAAGAUGGUUCUGCUAUCACUCUUGGAUGGACCUGCGGUGCAUUAGCUAGUUGGUAGGGUAACGGCCUACCAAGGCGAUGAUGCAUAGCCGAGUUGAGAGACUUAUCGGCCACAUUGGGACUGAGACACGGCCCAAACUCCUACGGGAGGCAGCAGAA
This 244-nucleotide ribosomal RNA is filed under the name uncultured Lactobacillus sp. RNAcentral's name for it is "partial 16S ribosomal RNA". It matches the Rfam family "Bacterial small subunit ribosomal RNA", at positions 118 to 354 of the family's 1533-position model. The record is from RNAcentral. Lineage: Bacteria; Bacillati; Bacillota; Bacilli; Lactobacillales; Lactobacillaceae.